RNAcentral lists this unclassified non-coding RNA (220 nucleotides) under Peglionia verticiclada. RNAcentral describes it as "Gyrothrix verticiclada partial internal transcribed spacer region". The stretch from base 1 to 46 matches the Rfam family "Eukaryotic small subunit ribosomal RNA", at positions 1786 to 1831 of the family's 1831-position model. The record is from RNAcentral. Lineage: Eukaryota; Fungi; Ascomycota; Sordariomycetes; Xylariales; Microdochiaceae. RNAcentral also lists the same sequence under 2 other names.
AAGUCGUAACAAGGUCUCCGUAGGUGAACCUGCGGAGGGAUCAUUACUGAGUUUAUCUAACUCCCAAACCAUUGUGAACUUACCACUGUUGCCUCGGCGGCAGGUCCUCUCUCACGGGAGGCGUGCCGCCGGUGGACUACUAAACUCUUGUUAAUAUUUGUCAUUCUGAAUAACAAAACUUAAUAAGUUAAAACUUUCAACAACGGAUCUCUUGGUUCUG